This is a non-coding RNA of Lupinus albus (white lupine), 572 nucleotides long. The record is from the annotation of a GenBank genome assembly. Lineage: Eukaryota; Viridiplantae; Streptophyta; Magnoliopsida; Fabales; Fabaceae.
GCGGAUGAUGACUAGCUAGGAUUAGGAUCAAAACACCAUUUAAGGCACAUUUUCACCUAAUUAACUGAAGCAGAUGCAGGAUCCGAAGUCUUCGACUCAGGCUCAGACGAACCGAGAGUCCUUUCUAUCCUAUCCUUAGUCACAGCGAAUUAGACUUUUUAGCUAUACCUCUGCCCAUAAAAAGAGAACUUUUUUAUCUCCAAAUGCACCACCCAAUCUCGUCUCGCGUGGCUGUCACUGACCACUGUGCUCCUCUAGGCUAGCGUGCUUACCCCUCACCACUUGCCACUUGGCGUUUUCUUUGCCAACAUGUCCUGUAGGUUCACAUGGGUAACCAAAGACUAAGAAGGAUAUACUGGAAGUUUCCUAGCAUCCCGACGUUUUGCUGAUAACUCAGUCUCUGAAAUAAGCACGCCCCUGAAUACCUCAUGAAACCGUGCACCAAGCUCAAACCAAGCCAUCAACUAAUCCGAACUCGAAAGUCUGUAGCUGCUGAACGUAGCCAACAAGUAGGACAAGUCGAAAGUAAGGGUAUCAGAUCGAGCUUUCUUCCGGGUGUAGCACCAUAGCCC